GCGGCCGCCGGCUCCAGGGAGACCCCGCUGAACCAGGAAUCCGCCCGCAAGAGCGAGCCGCCUGCCCCGGUGCGCAGACAGAGCUAUUCCAGCACCAGCAGAGAUUGGCAUGCUUAAAGGGCUGACCAUCUGAUGUACAGGAAAUGGAAACUACUCUCUGAAAAGCAAGUGAUCUCCCAGCCGCACCCAUUUAGGAGACCAGGAUUUUAUUUUGAUCCACAGGAGACUAAAUGAGUUAGAGGCCACUCCUGUAUCAACAGAGUUUGUUACUUAAAUGACAGUAGGGCGGUUCGCAGAAGGAACACCAAAUAGUCUGACUAUCUACCAAGAAGAGAGUGUUUGAACACAUGUGCAACCUCUUGACUGUGGUGUGUGGGGCAGCAUUUAAUAAGAAAGAGCUAAAUCUGCUUGAUGUGGGAAUAUAUUCAACACAUGUUAAGUGCUAAAAUAUUCAAAGUAAAUAAAUGUCUAUGUACUCCAUAUUG
RNAcentral lists this long non-coding RNA (485 nucleotides) under Homo sapiens (human). RNAcentral's name for it is "non-protein coding lnc-ICE2-7:5". Lineage: Eukaryota; Metazoa; Chordata; Mammalia; Primates; Hominidae. The record is from RNAcentral.